AGACCAACAGGGAUUGCCCUAGUAACGGCGAGUGAAGCGGCAACAGCUCAAAUUUGAAAUCUGGCUCUAGGGCCCGAGUUGUAAUUUGCAGAGGAUGAUUUUGGCGCGGUGCCUUCCGAGUUCCCUGGAACGGGACGCCUUAGAGGGUGAGAGCCCCGUACGGUUGGACACCAAGCCUCUGUAAAUCUCCUUCGACGAGUCGAGUAGUUUGGGAAUGCUGCUCUAAAUGGGAGGUAAAUUUCUUCUAAAGCUAAAUACCGGCCAGAGACCGAUAGCGCACAAGUAGAGUGAUCGAAAGAUGAAAAGCACUUUGAAAAGAGGGUUAAAUAGCACGUGAAAUUGUUGAAAGGGAAGCAUUUACUACCAGACCUUCUCCCUGCGGAUCAUGCGGUGUUUUCACCGCUGCACUUCGCUUGGUUUAGGCUAGCAUCGGUUUUCGUAGGGGGAUAAAAGCAUUAGGAACGUAGCUCCCUCGGGAGUGUUAUAGCCUUUUGCAUAAUACCCUUAUGGGGACCGAGGACCGCGCUUUUGCAAGGAUGCUGGCAUAAUGGUAGUCAAUGACCCGUCUUGAAACACGGACCAAGGAGUCGAACAUUUGUGCGAGUGUUUGGGUGUUAAACCCUCACGCGUAAUGAAAGUGAACGUAGGUGAGAGCCCUUACGGGUGCAUCAUCGACCGAUCUUGAUGUCUUCGGAUGGAUUUGAGUAAGAGCAUAACUGUUCGGACCCGAAAGAUGGUGAACUAUGCGUGGAUAGGGUGAAGCCAGAGGAAACUCUGGUGGAGGCUCGCAGCGGUUCUGACGUGCAAAUCGAUCGUCAAAUCUGCGCAUGGGGGCGAAAGACUUAUCGAACCAUUAAACCAGCGGUAAAAAUAUUUACUAGGUGGUUAAGAGGCCCUCUGUAAAGAGAAAAAGGCCUAGGUGACCUACCCUUGGAAGAUGCUACCCUGCACUUCUGGGUGGGCUAUCGACAUCGCUAAUUGCGGAACAUCCUACUGUAAAGCUAGGGGUUACCGCCGCCUGCUGAAAGCCCGGCGGCACUGAGAGUAGCGCUCUCAGGUGUGGUAAAAA
This 1069-nucleotide ribosomal RNA is filed under the name Muscodor ziziphi. RNAcentral describes it as "Induratia ziziphi partial large subunit ribosomal RNA". It matches the Rfam family "Eukaryotic large subunit ribosomal RNA", at positions 62 to 1111 of the family's 3401-position model. Lineage: Eukaryota; Fungi; Ascomycota; Sordariomycetes; Xylariales. The record is from RNAcentral.